Molecule: ribosomal RNA, 116 nt
Filed under: Rhinopithecus bieti (black snub-nosed monkey)
Lineage: Eukaryota; Metazoa; Chordata; Mammalia; Primates; Cercopithecidae
Also listed under: 1 other name
Source: RNAcentral
GUGUAGGGCCAUACCACCCUGAACGCACCCAAUCUCUGAUUUUGCAAGCUAAGCAGGUUAGGCUCUGGUUAGCACUUGGAUGGGAGACCGACUGGGAAUACCACAUGCUGUAGACU